RNAcentral lists this long non-coding RNA (6189 nucleotides) under Gallus gallus (chicken). The record is from RNAcentral. Lineage: Eukaryota; Metazoa; Chordata; Aves; Galliformes; Phasianidae.
AGAUUCCUCAUGCUGAAGAAGAGAGAGGUUUUCUGACAACAGAUUCUUGACGAAGAAUGAGAAGAAGGUUUCUGACAUGAGAAGCCUCACGACCUGCCUCUCCCUCCUGGACUUUCUCUGCACUCUACGUGACUGCUGCCUAAGGUCAGCCACUCUGCUGCUGCUCUCCCCCCCCGAGAAGGUGUCGGAACAUCGUGCAACGGGACGACUGCCGGAUCCUGGUGCCUGGUUCAAAUGCAGUUCCUGACUUCUGCCAGCAGCACUCGCCGUUUAUCUUCCUCGCACCCAGAAACACACGACUUACAACAGAAAUCUCUCUGGAGUUGCAUUAGAGAUGGUGUGACAAACAAGAGGGACAGCACAAGGGCUGUAAAGGAGAAGCAUCCCGACCUUUGAUCCACCUCUGGUGUUUAAGAGCAAAACAUGAAGGGAAGGCAGGAGAUGUACAAUGUGUCCUUCUCCCAGCACAACCUCACCUGAUCCUUUAAAAUCAGAAAUGGAGAACUAGGAGUUUAUUUAUAUCUCUGAGGAUAUGGCAGUAGUCCUGAGAAGAAAGUCAACAAGUGGGUGAGCCUGAGCUACCCUCUGCAGCAAGUGAGUAUCAAGACAAGGACCAAAAGAAAUUUAUCUUCUGUCAGCCAACUGAAACGAUGUUAGUUUCUGGGUUGAUCAAGAGAGAUCUGGUCUGUCAGGCCUCUUCAAAACAGCUGGGGGGUGGGGGGGAGAGCACAUUGAAGCAAAGAUCUAGCUACAGAGGCACAAGAAUAGGCUGCUUUUAAACUGCUGUGGUUGCAGUUUAUUCUCCGACUAUAUACAACGUUCCCAAUUGAGUGUUUUGAUUCCAUGUGCCCCUGUACAAUUACUCAAACAAAGCUGGCAAUUGUAGCCCUUAAAAUGCAAGACAUAGUUUUGUUUAGAACUUCAGUAGACCUUUUAUUAGCUGUACACAGCAGGGAGUGCAAACCCCUUUUUCAUAAUAAAGAAACAGUUCUAUGCAAAAAGCCACAAGAUGUAAAACUACCAAAUAAUUCUUCUCUACAAAAUGAAAAUAUAUGGAAAUUAUAUGCAAUGAUGAGUUAAAAUAGGAACAAUUCAGAAUCUGCUGCUUGAAAUUAAAGGGGUAUGAUGAAACAGAGUUACUAUAUGCCUAAGCCAUUUUCAGAGUGGAAAGGUGGAGAAAUGCAUGGGUGUAUAUUCUGGAUUGCUUAAAUAAAUGUGAAUGAAAACAGUAAGGUUGAAAGAAAAACUUCUGUUGCAAUGCAGCAGUAAGUCAAUAAACAUUCAGUUGUCUCGCAUGUCAAUACAUGGAUUCCCAUGGUACCACAAGGUUACAUAGGGCAUGGAUUUAGUUUCUACCCCUACUGCUGGUGAUUUUUAUUUAGAUGUACGAUAUCAUUUCUGUUCAGUGUACAAAUAUCUGACGAUUUUAAAGUGAUUUAUGUAGGUAGAUGAGUUAAGAGCUGGUGAGAGAACUGUUGUGUGAAAUUGUGAGGAGAAGGUCUCUUUGGGUCCUGUGCCACAGAUGAUUAUUAUUUUUAAUUAUUUUUGUUUGCAUUCUAAAAGCAUACCAUAGCUUUUCUGCCACUGAAAUGCUUUUAUGAUUAUUAUUUAUUAUCAUCUAGUAUUUGACACUUAGACCAUUUUCCCCAUUAAAGCUUUAGGUCAUUCAGUGUCAUUGAGGUCAGUGGAAGAAAUGAAUCCCACGGAUGUGUCUUCUUAGCUUUAAACGAGAAAGGGAUUUAAAUGUUUGGUCUUAAAUCCACGGUGAAAUCUUCAGCGUGUCUCCAGCUGUAGGUUCCUAAAUUCUACUGUUAUUAUAUGUCAAGGCUGUUACUGCUGUUGUCACAGCUUUGGUUGAGUUACUUUAACUCUUAAACUCUGUCCAUAGUUUGAUGUGAUAUCCUAGCUGGAACUGGGAACUUACAAGCUUCCCUGUGCUUGUCUUGGCUGAAGUGUUGAACUCUGCUUUUUGUGACCUUGAAUGCAUGAGGUUAAAGUUAGGAGGACUCACCUGUAUUUUUAAGGAAGCUGUACUGAUAUUGUUUUUACUUUAGUAUUUCAUUCAUUUCACUCUGGUGAAUUGUUCACGGAAACAGAAAGGGUUCCUGCUAAAUUGUGGUUUGAACACAGAAUGCAGAACUGUCUAGAUAUGCCUCGUGACAUAGCUGGAGGUUUUCAUAGGUGUCUUGUAUUAAAAUGCAGUGGGGAAGCAGAAGGAUAUAUUCUGUCUCUAUUUCUUGAUUAAGCAGUGAGACUUUACUGGAGAUCAGCUGAUGUGUAAGAGAAUUCCAACCUUGGCAGACUAACAGGUGAUGUUACUUCAAUUUUAGGUCCUUAACUUUUUUCUUUUUGUGAAAGGAAUGUGAAGUUAAUUGUGUCACAUUAAAAUUGAGUGAGAAUGAGGAAAAUCAAGGGAACUAUUUAGCAAAUGAAGUCUAUGUAUUUGAUCCACAAUAAAAUUGUGUUCCUUCAUUGUUUUGACACUGUUGUGGUUUGAGUAAAACCCUGACAAUCUUGUUUUCACUGAACAAGUUACUUUCUGCUGGAGACUGACAAAACAGUAGAACAGUAUUCAGCCUAUUUAGUAAAAUACGAAACUUCUUGUGAUUAGUCUUCAUUUUGAAAAUUGAUGUGUAGUCCAGUUCACCUGUCUUCCGCUUGGCCUUAUAGUGAUAUGUAUGUAUAAAAUACAUCUAAAUACGCCUUUAAGAAUAAAGAUGACAGAAUUAAAUGUCUCGAGUGAAGCACUCUGUAACAUAUCUGUGCAGAACUGGGGAAGCCUCCAGUGAUUUCCAGCAUCGGAGGUCACCCUUUCUUCUGGUAGCUUUUCCAUUAAUGUCCUAUUUUAUGCAUUGUUGGGUUUUUUUGUUUGUUUGUUUUUGCUUAUGUGGUUAAACGCUGGUAACAAAGUUCACGAAGGACUGGAUUUUGUAAAAUGUGAUAUUUUUUAGGGACUAAUGAAGUUGUUUUUCAGAAACAUCCACUACCUGUGUUAUCAGAAGAGUAAAAAUGGCAAAGUGUAUCCUGUACCAGGAAAGAGCAUUUGUUCAGCAGUUCUUUUGAAUUGUGUGGUACUAAAUAAGCAGUAAAAGGGAUGACUGUCACCCGGAGUAAAACCAAGGCAACUGAUCUUCACAGUGCCUCUACAGACACUGAAUUUUGCUAAAAAGAGGAAACAUGAUAAACGAAAGAAUGACGUUUUAAGAUGCUGAAGAGAAUAGACUGUAUGAAUGAUAAUCAGUGUGUGUUUUACAUGUGCUGCCAGGUGGAUGAGACAAAGGUGUGCGUUUGUCAGCAUUACUGCUCUGGGCUUUUGAUCGUUACAGCAAUUUCAAGAAGUUGUUUUAGAAGGGAUGCACAAAUUUCACAGUCAUUUGAGUGAUCUAAUAGAGGUUGUCUAGCCACAGCAUCAAAGAGGUUGUGGUCAGCAGUUUUCUCUCUAAUAAAAGAUGCUGUGACUGUAGGUUAUACGUGGCUUCAGAGAUGUACCCAAAGCCAGCAGAAUCUCGGUCUUGUAACGCAAGGUUCAGACAGCCAACUUCAGACUGCAGAUUGUUGACAAUAUUUCCACACGGGACCAUUGCUGAAAAAUGUUCCACUAAAACCAUUUCCUUCCUUUCUCUUCUUCUCUAUGUUCAACUUGUAAAAAUGAAUGUUUUCAAAUGACUUUCACUGGUAAUCUUUGCUUCAUCCAAUACAUAACUUCUCGUCUAAAUGGAGAAAAAAAGAGCCAGCCAAAAUCAGCCUACUUCAGACAGGCACUUGAGUCUGUUUAACUUGGAUUCCAGAUAAGAAAACUAACCACUGUGGGCAUGGCUGACGUACAGUAACAUGCUGGUGAUGUUUCUGAGGGAUCCUGAGUUUUUCUCCAGUGGAAACGCUUGCUUCAUCUCAACAUUUUCUCAAGUGGUGAUAAACCAUUUACUACUCUUCUAAUGAGAUGCUGAAAAUUAGAGGAUAGAAAAAGGGCUGCUUAAAACACUAGUAGAACUGCUAGUUCACUUCUAAAUGUGAUUUUUUUUUUCUUUUCUUUUUUGGUUAUAAAGUGAUCUUUAAUCAAGAAGGCUGGUUAAAGCCUUUUCAUCCACUCCACCCCCAACAAGACAAUGUUUCCUGAAGGCAGCACACGAUACCUUUUUUUAAUUUUAUUUUUGGAUGUAUUUAUUAUGGAUGUAAAUCAGACAGUCUGCCUGCCAAUGCCUUCUUUUCUUUGAAAAGGAGCUUGUUUCCCUCUGCUUUUGAUCUGUUCGAGUGAGUCUCUUCUUUAAGAAUUUCAGAAGCCAUUCCAUGAAUCUGUAACGAAGCGUGAAGUUAAAACAGGCUCCUCCUAACAAGAAGCAUAAUGGUGCUUCACUCAUGAAGGUGGGAAUUAAGUUAUUGAAAGGAGGUAAAUGUGGACGGGCCACAGAGAAGUGAACUGAGGAAACAAAUAGAAAAUUUCAUAAAGGGAGAAAAAGGAAAAGCUGAGAAGUCUAGACAGAUUUAUAAAAAUUGCCAAUUGAAAUGCCCAACAGACUACAAUACAGUAUAAAUUAGUAAUCUGAAUAAUUUCCUAGUGUCGUGCAUUCUGAUGGGGCUUUGGUUAUUUAUAACGUUAAGUUUAUGGAUAAGUAACUGAAUUUGUACAGUGAUAAACGGAAAGAUAAUUUCUGACUGAAUUUUAUCUCUUUCAGAUUUUUCCAGUCUCAGUGCAUCUCAGCUGGAUGCAAUGCUCUGUGUGCAAGAUCAUCAUUGGAGUGCUGACGUGCAUGUGUGAAUUUAAGUGCAAUUAUUUACUUGUGUUCACUUGUGGGAGUUGAUUGAAUGGCCUGAGGAAAGCAGAUGAAUAAUGUAAGGAAAUCUUUGCAGAAUCACGCAAAGUUCUAAAUGGUUUUCAGUGCAACAUGAAACAUCCCUUACUCUUCUCUUCUUCUGAAUCCUCAGUUUCAUAUGCUUUCGUUGAAUUAUUUUUCUCCUUUCUCAUCAUCAAGUAAUCAACACUAAAUUGUUUAAAGGUGCUAUUACUGAACUUUCUGCUCUCUUCCAUGAAUUAAAAUUUUAUUUUGUCAAGCGGUGCAAGAACUCAGAAAAUAAAAACUCAGAAAAUAAACAUUUCUUUCCACUUUCUUGUGUGAUAUUGCUUUCUGUCAUUUCCAGUGUCCCCACACGUGUCAUUUUCAUCACGCUGAAAGCACAGUCCGUAACUGAAAAAUGGGCUUUGAAUUUGUGCAAUUGGCAAAAGCUGUGGCCUAAAAAGGCAUCGGAGCCCUUUCAAAAUGUUAUGAUAGAUUUUCCACAGAGAGGAUUUCUUUUUGCAUUGUACUGUAGAACAUAGAAUUAAUAUAAUGGAAAGAGAUGAUAGGCAUGCUCAGAAAGGCAGUUGUAUCUCUAAUAAUGGCUUCACAAAGUAUAGUUUGAAAGUGUAUUGUUUUCCCAUUGAAACUGGGAUAUAAAUGUGUAAUGUUACAUUACACAUUAAUAUAUUGUUUUCUAUGUAUUGUAAAGUAAAUUUUCUCUAUCAGAUGGUUACAAAUGAUGACUGGCAUCCUUUGGUAUCUAUGGAACCAAAGUAGCAUUAAUAAAAACAAUAAAGGCCGAACUGUCCCAGUGUUCCUGUGUGUGCUGUAGGUAAUAAGCUAAGUAUCAACACAACAGAAGGGCUUUAGUAAAUGGAAGUCAGAUGUUUCAUACACUGUGUGUGAGCUACUUUUGUGUCCGUGAUGUCAGCACAUCAGCCAAAAAUUGGAGCUCGCUGGUGAUUCUCGAGGGUCUCCUUUAUCUUGUUUUGAGCAAAAUUGUAAGAUGAGUUGCUGGCCUUCACUUGCAUACCUAUAUAUAUAUAUUACAUAAUGACUGUGUGUAGUGGUGUAAGGACAUUUAAAAAUUGGAAUUCUGAUUCUUCACUUAAUUUUCAUUUUUUUUUCAAAUAAAGGUAUCUUAUUCCUUCUCAUUUCCUUAGGAAUAAUCUCUUAAUGUAUUGCCAGCUUUCUCUGAGGUAUUUCCAACAGAGAAAUGGCUCUCUCAAUUAGAAAAGUGUAUCAGUUAACAACUGGCCCUGGAUAAAUCUAGAAAGUAUUCAAGAUGUUUGUCUUGCACGCUUUCCUGCAAGUCAGCUGCUGCCACUGCCUUUUCCCUUAUGUUAAUAUUAGGUCUUCUGCCUGUUAAGCGGCCACUUAGGUACUGAUUGCCACAAAAGCCUGGAAGCUAGGA